GAGCCCCGGAGGAAGCCGCCCUCCGCCGGUGCCCUCCCGCCUGCCGGCAGAGGAGAGGAGGGGAGGGCGCCGCGGGGAGCGGGGGCUCGCCGGGGACGGGGCCCGGCAGCAGCCGGGGGCGACGGGGACAGCUCCCCGGGCACCCCUCGAGCACCGGGGCUGGCAGCCGGGGCAAGCCGCGGCGCCCCCUGAGAGCCCCCCCUCACAUCAUGGCCACCCCCCGCCCCUUCAUGGCCACCCCCCCUUCACAUCACGGCCACCCCACUGCCCUGUCAUAGCCACUCCGUGAGGCCGGGGGCGAGGGGGCAGCCGCCCCCCCGCCGCCUCUCAGGUGGCCGCAGCCCCUCAGGAGCAACGCCCCGGGGCUCCAAGGGGGUGCCAGGGGCACGGGGGUGUCCCCCGACAUGGCAGGGGGACGUGUGGGGGUACCCGGCCUGUCAGGUGGCUGUCGCCGUGUGUCUACCGAGAGCCAAACCCGCCGGCUCCCAGUCUUCGUUAAUUACCCCGGGGUAAUGAAGGGAGACGGCCCCGUGCCAAAGAGGCGUGCUGCGGGGGCUGCCCGCUGGCUGUGGGGUUGCCUGCGAGGCUCUGGGUGCUCCUGGUGAAAUGCUAGUUGGGGUGGAGGCAGCGCAGUUGUUGUUAUUGUUAACCUCCUUCCAGGUUAAUUAGGCCUUUCAGCAGGACUAAUUGGCGUGGAAACAGAAGCACGCUGACUUGGCUAUAUUGCUUUCGGCUCCAGAGCCAGCUCUUUGUCAAUGCCAAUACAGGGACCUCUCUGCCAUGCCCUACCGGCAGCAUAAACAUAUCCCUAGCCAGCUCCGGGUUCUGGUUACACCACAAUGGAGAAACUGCAAGGAAGAGGACAGACACUUGAGGAAUGCUGAGUUUUUUUGUAAGGGUGAGAAAGCACGGACAGCUUUUUGUGUCUUCCCCAACAAAUUCUUGAGAAGAAAGAGGAGUGCAGUCCAUGUUGUAUGUACUGACCCUGUUGCCACUGCAAUUAAUAAGAAACCUACAAUAAAGGGGAGAGCAGGCCCAGCUUUAAAAACAAUGAAAAAGCAUAUAGGCCAUGAGGAAAAAUGUGGAGGAAUUGACUUUUGCCAAAUCUGAUUUCAUUAUAAGUUGUUGGGCUUUUUUGUUGUUGUUGUGGUGAUGGUUUUGUGUGUUUGUUUUGUUUGUUUGUUUUAACAGUGCCAUAAUUACUAUGAUUACAAAGUAGGUGAAAUCUUAUCUUUUAUUUGAAAACUUGAGAGUCAUGACAUGAAGUAUACCUGACUCAGGGGCUCAAACAUUAAACACCUGUAUGUACAUACAUAACUGA
Non-coding RNA from Anas platyrhynchos (mallard), 1321 nucleotides. NCBI's taxonomy places the organism in Eukaryota, Metazoa, Chordata, Aves, Anseriformes, Anatidae. The record is from RefSeq and is a predicted model, not a curated record.